RNAcentral lists this transfer RNA (74 nucleotides) under Olea europaea subsp. europaea. Its description in RNAcentral is "tRNA.Ile". The stretch from base 8 to 66 matches the Rfam family "tRNA", at positions 8 to 63 of the family's 71-position model. Rfam says of the family: Transfer RNA (tRNA) molecules are approximately 80 nucleotides in length. Their secondary structure includes four short double-helical elements and three loops (D, anti-codon, and T loops). Lineage: Eukaryota; Viridiplantae; Streptophyta; Magnoliopsida; Lamiales; Oleaceae. The record is from RNAcentral.
UGGGACCUGGCUGAAUGGUUAAAGCGCCCAACUUAUAAUUGGUGAAUUCGUAGGUUCAAUUCCUACUAUGAUAU